Molecule: ribosomal RNA, 433 nt
Filed under: uncultured bacterium
Lineage: Bacteria
Description: partial 16S ribosomal RNA
Rfam family: Bacterial small subunit ribosomal RNA
Source: RNAcentral
AACGAACGCUGGCGGCAUGCCUAACACAUGCAAGUCGAACGAAACCUUCGGGUCUAGUGGCGCACGGGUGCGUAACGCGGGGGAACCUGCCCUUAGGUUCGGAAUAACUCCCCGAAAGGGGUGCUAAUACCGGAUAAUGUCUUCGGACCAAAGAUUUAUCGCCUUUGGAUGGGCCCGGGUAGGAUUAGCUAGUUGGUAGGGUAAAAGCCUACCAAGGCGACGAUCCAUAGCUGGUCUGAGAGGAUGAUAAGCCACACUGGGACUGAGACACGGCCCAGACUCCUACGGGAGGCAGCAGUGGGGAAUAUUGGACAAUGGGCGAAAGCCUGAUCCAGCAAUGCCGCGUGAGUGAUGAAGGCCUUAGGGUUGUAAAGCUCUUUUACCCGGGAUGAUAAUGACAGUACCGGGAGAAUAAGCUCCGGCUAACUCCGUG